This 439-nucleotide ribosomal RNA is filed under the name uncultured bacterium. RNAcentral describes it as "bacterial SSU rRNA". It matches the Rfam family "Bacterial small subunit ribosomal RNA", at positions 340 to 774 of the family's 1533-position model. The record is from RNAcentral.
UACGGGAGGCAGCAGUGGGGAAUAUUGCACAAUGGGCGCAAGCCUGAUGCAGCCAUGCCGCGUGUAUGAAGAAGGCCUUCGGGUUGUAAAGUACUUUCAGUCGUGAGGAAGGUGUUAAGGUUAAUAACCUUAGCAAUUGACGUUAGCGACAGAAGAAGCACCGGCUAACUCCGUGCCAGCAGCCGCGGUAAUACGGAGGGUGCGAGCGUUAAUCGGAAUUACUGGGCGUAAAGGGCACGCAGGCGGUUAAUUAAGUUGGAUGUGAAAUCCCCGGGCUUAACCUGGGAAUGGCAUUCAAGCUGGUUAGCUAGAGUCUUGUAGAGGGGGUAGAAUUCCAUGUGUAGCGGUGAAAUGCGUAGAGAUGUGGAGGAAUACCGGUGGCGAAGGCGGCCCCUGGACAAAGGCUGACGCUCAUGUGCGAAAGCGUGGGGAGCAAACG